Molecule: transfer RNA, 66 nt
Filed under: Hygrotus nigrolineatus
Lineage: Eukaryota; Metazoa; Arthropoda; Insecta; Coleoptera; Dytiscidae
Description: tRNA-Pro
Source: RNAcentral
CAGAGAAUAGUUUAUUAAAAAUAUUAAUUUUGGAGAUUAAUGAUAGAGAUUAUUCUUUUUCUCUGA